This 330-nucleotide ribosomal RNA is filed under the name uncultured bacterium. Its description in RNAcentral is "bacterial SSU rRNA". It matches the Rfam family "Bacterial small subunit ribosomal RNA", at positions 568 to 898 of the family's 1533-position model. The record is from RNAcentral.
CACGCAGGCGGCGCGUUAAAUUAGGAGUGAAAGCCCUGGGCUCAACCUGGGAAUUGCUUUUAAGACUGGCGCGCUUGAAUCCGGAAGAGGGCAGUGGAAUUCCAAGUGUAGAGGUGAAAUUCGUAGAUAUUUGGAAGAACACCAGUGGCGAAGGCGACUGCCUGGUCCGGGAUUGACGCUCAUGUGCGAAAGCGUGGGGAGCAAACAGGAUUAGAUACCCUGGUAGUCCACGCUGUAAACUAUGAGUGCUAGUUGUUGGGGUGCAUGCACCUCAGUGACGCAGCUAACGCAUUAAGCACUCCGCCUGGGGAGUACGGCCGCAAGGUUAAA